Long non-coding RNA from Sander lucioperca (pikeperch), 163 nucleotides. RefSeq lists it as uncharacterized. The record is from RefSeq and is a predicted model, not a curated record. NCBI's taxonomy places the organism in Eukaryota, Metazoa, Chordata, Actinopteri, Perciformes, Percidae. The transcript has 3 exons.
UUCAACGGUCAUCGUUAAUGUGGUGGAAUAUCCACAAACACCAUGUUGUGGUAUGACGAGACAAAGGGAAAGCUUAGACAACAUCAGGUCAUUCAUAGGUCGCAGGUCAGGGGACGAGAAUAUUCGGCCAGUCUCUAAUAACCAAAUCUGUUCGUGUAUAAUU